CAUGCACUAUAGAUAUACGUGUACUUUCUUAGGACUGAUAGAAUAUUAUAAAAAUCAGGUUAAACCGGAUUAUAUCUUGUAAAUUAGGUGAGCCACAUUUGCAGUACCUGAAAUUUUAAAUGAGUAAGGCUGUGAAGCCACAGACCUUACUUACUUGAGUUUUCUUUAUGGUUCCAAACCCUUUCUUUGUUGAUUUUUGUUGCUGUAUGCAGUGAAUUAGGGAUGAAGUGGGCUGUGGUCACACACUGUGAAGGUGAGGUUGCUUAAAUCUGUACUAAGCACGACAUAAUCAAGGGUUGUCAGCUAAAUUGGGGGAAAAUAGGGAAGUCAUUUGGGAUUUUCAUUUGAAUACAACUUUUGGUGAAUAUAAAUGACACACAUUGAUACCUACAACUCUUUUCCUCUGACUCAUUCAUCUGAUAGAAAUAUGGCUGCAGCAAAGCACAGGACUGAAUCAAGGCAGCUAAGUUCUUUACUGACCCUGCCAGUAACGACUAACGAGCUACAUGACUUUGGCAGAUUCAAUUCAAUUCUGUGGUCCCAGUUUUCUCAUCUAUGAACUACAGAGGGAAGGGUGAUCUUUUUCAGCUCUGAGUCUCUCUAAUUCCAGUGGUAGCACAUUUUGGUACACCGGAAAUUACCAGUUCCACCCAUUCCUGAGUUCACAGAGAGUUAAAGUUACAGAUCAAAUUCCCCGUGGAAACAACCAUCACAAUAACACUGUGGAAGAUGUGCUAGGUGCUGAGGAUGGAAAAGUAAAUAUAUUUUUUUAGGCAUUUACGAAGACAAAUUGGACACAUUGGUAUUCAUCACAUAGAUUUAAUCAGCACCAGCCCUGGGAAAAAUUGUUAUAUAGAGGAUUCUUUUCUUCUGGGACCUUUCCUUCCUCUUAGCAACCCUCCACAUCAUCUGAGUCCCAGUGUCCCAAGCCCAAGGCUCCAGACUAACUGCCAUCACCCCUCACUUGCCACUGUAGGACCCACUCCUAGUUACCCUGCUUACUUUUACUGUCAUCUUCUGGAAUUCAUGCCCUGCCUUUAGUAACAUUUGAUGCUUACCAUAGGUGCUCAAUAAAUGUGUUUUGAAUGGAUAAACUUAAGCAUGAACGGAUUAACUAUUUAAUCAGUAACUCAAAAGGUGAGAAUCCUGGAUGAGAUAAGAAGAGAGAAUGACAGUGCAGCAGUCUCAUAGAGGGAGAGACAGGGGAAUAUUAACAACAGGCGGAACCUUCACUGUGCCCUUCAAAUUACUGAUAAAUUACUGAAUUUAUCCUUCUUUAAACAAAAAUAAGUGAUAAAAAGAUAAUACAGUCAAUACAAACAAAAACGUUAGUGAAUUUAAUGGCAUGGUGAACAAAGAGUGAGUAAAGGAGAGACACACAGGAGGAAAGACUGGGUUUUUUUCCUAACACACAUACGAUCCAGCAAUUCCACUUCUUAUUGUAUACCCAAAAGAAUCAAAAGCAAGGACUCAACAGAUAUUUGUAUACCAAUGUUCAUAGCAGCAUUAGUCAUCAUAACCAAAAGGCAGAAACAACCCAAAUGGCCAACAAAAUGUAGUAUAGACACACAAUGGAAUAUUAUUCAACCUUAAACGGAAUGAAAUUCUCAUACGUUCUGUGACAUGGGUGAAUCUUGAAAAUACUAUGCUAAGUUAAAUAAGUUAGGCCCAAAGAACAAAUCUUGUAUGAUUCUACUUAUAUGAGGUACCUAGAGUAGUCAAAUUCAUGGAGACAGAAAGAAGAAUAGUGGUUACCAGAUGCUGGAGGGAGAGGGGAACAGAGAGAUUUUGUUUAAUGGGUACAGAGUUUCAGUCUGGGAUGAUAAAAACCUUCUAGAGAUGGAUGGUGGUGAGGUGAUGGUUACACAACAAUGUAAAUGUACUUAGUGCUACAGAUCUGUACCCUUAAAAAUGGUAAAUUUUAUUUUAUGUAUAUUUUAUCACAAUCCCCCAAAAAAUCUCCGGAGAAGAAUAUUCUUCGGCAUAACUGAUAUCAAUAUCAAACAGCUUCUUUGAGGAGAAAACUGUUCCUCAAAUCUAAUCAAAACCCUUCAGCUGCAUGUCUUCUUAUUUCUUUUUGUUGCUUCUGUUGUUGAACCAAGGAAGGCUACUUUCACCAUCGCAGAAACAUGUACUAAGGAUGUGCUCCCUUUCUGGUUGAUGCCACCGGCCCUCUUGGAAGUGGUGCCUUUUGAGUUGCUUUGUUCCCAGUGGGAUGGGUUUUAACAGGUCUGUCUUCUCUGCCCCUUACUCAAUCUUCAUGUGAGAGGCAGCAUAAUUUGCAGUCUGUGUAGCCAGGGAAUGGAGUAAAGGCGAGUCAGGUUCGUGGAAACCAACCCAUAACUUCAGCUUCAGGAAAAAAAGUUGGAUGGUGCAGCAAGAAGUAAAUAUAUGUUGGCUGCAUACAAAGAAUACUAAAUCUAUUAAUUCUGCUAACUGUGCAAUCUCUGAAAAAGUAAAGAAAUGUGAAUCUUUUCAGGGAUAACAAAAAAGUAAAUAAAUUUUAUUUAUCUGGAAACUUAAGAUUGCUGUUUCAUUUUGCCCCAUUCAUGCAUUUUAUUUGCCUAAAUAUAUCUUGUCUCUCACUCUUCCCCUUCACCGUCACUGUCACUGCCCAACCAGUUCUGGCCCGAACACCUUCAAGAGCCUCCUGACUGGUCUCCUGACUUCUAGACUUGGGUACCACUUUCCCUGUGCCAUCUCACUUCCCCUGCCCAUCCCUUCUCUACAUUGCUGCCAGGAUCAUCUUUCCAAAGACCUUAAGAUCUUCUAAUGAUGCACAAUCAUUGUCAGGAUAAAAUCCAAACUCCUCACCAAACAUACCUUUCCAGCUUCAUCUUGAGCUAUUUCCCAGCACACACCCCAUGCACAAGCCUUCUCAAAUUCUGUGUUUGCAGUUUCCAUAACAGGCCAGGCUCUUCUUAUCAUCUUGCUUGCUUCUUCUGCCUAGAAAACACAGGCACACAUAUACUUGUGCACACACACAAACGCAUGCUCACCUUCUCCAUCUGCCUAAUUCCUACUCCCACCUCAAGAUUAGGUCAAAGGUCACAAUCAUCCCUACCCCCUCUCACUUCCUUCCCAGGGGCCCACACUCUCCUUUAUUCCCCUCUCCCAAGUCUUCUAGCUAGACUUGAUGCUUCCCUUUUUCACAGCACCCUGUAGGUGUUCUAAUACAUAUUUUAUCAUGAGCUAUUUGAGAGCAAGGACUGCAUCUUUGAUCUCUGUAUCCCCAGCACCCGCACAAAAGUCUUAGCAGAUAUUUGGGGUUCAACGAGGGGAUAAAGUGCAAAGGGCACAGGGAAAGUGAUAAAGGAGUUCCAAGAAGGUUGAGUCAAGGAAGGCUUCAUAAAAAAAAAGUGG
Molecule: long non-coding RNA, 3363 nt
Organism: Equus caballus (horse)
Lineage: Eukaryota; Metazoa; Chordata; Mammalia; Perissodactyla; Equidae
Source: Ensembl